Molecule: ribosomal RNA, 294 nt
Filed under: uncultured bacterium
Lineage: Bacteria
Description: partial 16S ribosomal RNA
Rfam family: Bacterial small subunit ribosomal RNA
Source: RNAcentral
GCCUACGGGACGCAGCAGUGGGGAAUAUUGCACAAUGGGGGGAACCCUGAUGCGGCGACGCCGCGUGGGCGAGGAAGUAUUUCGGUAUGUAAAGCCCUAUCGGCAGGGAAGAAGAGAUGACGGUACCUGAAUAAGAAGCACCGGCUAAAUACGUGCCAGCAGCCGCGGGAAUACGUAGGGGGCAAGUGUUAUCCGGAUUUACUGGGUGUAAAGGGAGCGUAGACGGUCCUGCAAGCCAGAUGUGAAAGCCCGGGGCUCAACCCCGGGACUGCAUUUGGAACUGUAAGGCUAGAG